Molecule: ribosomal RNA, 653 nt
Filed under: Bacillus sp. (in: firmicutes)
Lineage: Bacteria; Bacillati; Bacillota; Bacilli; Caryophanales; Bacillaceae
Description: bacterial SSU rRNA
Rfam family: Bacterial small subunit ribosomal RNA
Source: RNAcentral
AGCGGACAGAUGGGAGCUUGCUCCCUGAUGUUAGCGGCGGACGGGUGAGUAACACGUGGGUAACCUGCCUGUAAGACUGGGAUAACUCCGGGAAACCGGGGCUAAUACCGGAUGGUUGUUUGAACCGCAUGGUUCAAACAUAAAAGGUGGCUUCGGCUACCACUUACAGAUGGACCCGCGGCGCAUUAGCUAGUUGGUGAGGUAACGGCUCACCAAGGCAACGAUGCGUAGCCGACCUGAGAGGGUGAUCGGCCACACUGGGACUGAGACACGGCCCAGACUCCUACGGGAGGCAGCAGUAGGGAAUCUUCCGCAAUGGACGAAAGUCUGACGGAGCAACGCCGCGUGAGUGAUGAAGGUUUUCGGAUCGUAAAGCUCUGUUGUUAGGGAAGAACAAGUACCGUUCGAAUAGGGCGGUACCUUGACGGUACCUAACCAGAAAGCCACGGCUAACUACGUGCCAGCAGCCGCGGUAAUACGUAGGUGGCAAGCGUUGUCCGGAAUUAUUGGGCGUAAAGGGCUCGCAGGCGGUUUCUUAAGUCUGAUGUGAAAGCCCCCGGCUCAACCGGGGAGGGUCAUUGUAAACUGGGGAACUUGAGUGCAGAAGAGGAGAGUGGAAUUCCACGUGUAGCGGUGAAGUGCAUAGAGAUGUG